AGAAUCCUGAGGUGUGCGUGGUGCCUUAAUUUUGAACCUGCUAUAUCUGACACGGGAGUCCGAAUAUUUGGAUCCGUAGCACAGGCCGCAAUCUAAUUCCGACACAGGGUCCGAGCCCUGUGCAACGGCGGCGGAAGUGUGAAAUAUUCAAUAGGACACCCACCUGGCGAGUGCCAGGUGUCAAACAAGGUAAACGGCAUCUUGGGAGGGGC
This 212-nucleotide non-coding RNA is filed under the name Ruminiclostridium sp. Its description in RNAcentral is "6S RNA". It matches the Rfam family "6S / SsrS RNA". From Rfam's summary of the family: E. coli 6S RNA was the first non coding RNA to be sequenced, but its function was unknown until recently. It consists of 184 nucleotides that fold into an extended hairpin structure with a large single-stranded internal bulge. The 6S RNA specifically associates with RNA polymerase holoenzyme containing the sigma70 specificity factor. The record is from RNAcentral. Lineage: Bacteria; Bacillati; Bacillota; Clostridia; Eubacteriales; Oscillospiraceae.